AGGAUCAUUAUUGUACUACGGGGGUGCGAGGGCUGUUGCUGACCUUUCAAAAGGUUGUGCACGCCCGAGCGCUCUCACACAAUCCAUCUCACCCCUUUGUGCAUCACCGCGUGGGUCCCCUUUUCAGGAGGGCUCACGUUUUUACACAAAACUUGAUACAGUGUAGAAUGUUACCUUUUGCGGUCACACGCAAUCAAUACAACUUUCAACAACGGAUCUCUUGGCUCUCGCAUCGAUGAAGAACGCAGCGAAAUGCGAUACGUAAUGUGAAUUGCAGAAUUCAGUGAAUCAUCGAAUCUUUGAACGCACCUUGCGCCCCUUGGCAUUCCGAGGGGCACACCCGUUUGAGUGUCGUGAAAUCAUCAAAAACCUUUUUCUGUUUACCAGAAAAGGGUUUUUGGACUUGGAGGUUUAAUGCUUGCCUUUCACUUUUUGAAAGUGAGCUCCUCUCAAAUAAAUUAGUGGGGUCCGCUUUGCUGGUCCUUGACGUGAUAAGAUGUUUCUACGUUUUGGAUUUAGCACUGUCCCUUUGGAUUCCUGCUCCUAACUGUCCAACGGACAAACGAUGGUGCUCUGGUCGCCGCCGCCUGCAUUGGCGGGGGAGGGCUGGACCCACGAAAGAAAACCUUGACCUCAAAUCGGGUGAGACUACCCGCUGAACUUAAGCAUAUCAAUAAGCGGAGGAAAAGAAACUAACAAGGAUU
This 704-nucleotide ribosomal RNA is filed under the name uncultured Russula. Its description in RNAcentral is "eukaryotic LSU rRNA". The stretch from base 201 to 354 matches the Rfam family "5.8S ribosomal RNA". The record is from RNAcentral. Lineage: Eukaryota; Fungi; Basidiomycota; Agaricomycetes; Russulales; Russulaceae.